AAAGGGGGCAACCCUGAGUACAGUGGCGUACGGGUGAGUAACACGUGGAUAAUCUACCUCCUAGUGGGGAAUAACCCUGGGAAACCGGGGCUAAUACCGCAUAAGCUCGAGAGAGGAAAGCAGCAAUGCGCUGGGAGAGGAGUCCGCGGCCGAUUAGCUAGUUGGCAGGGUAAGAGCCUACCAAGGCAAAGAUCGGUAGCCGGCCUGAGAGGGCACACGGCCACACUGGCACUGAAACACGGGCCAGACUCCUACGGGAGGCAGCAGUGGGGAAUCUUGCACAAUGGGGGAAACCCUGAUGCAGCGACGCCGCGUGAGCGAUGAAGCCCUUCGGGGUGUAAAGCUCUUUCGGCAGGGAAGAUAAUGACGGUACCUGCAGAAGCAGCUGCGGCUAACUACGUGCCAGCAGCCGCGGUAAUACGUAGGCAGCGAGCGUUGUUCGGAGUUACUGGGCGUAAAGGGUGUGUAGGCGGUUGUUUAAGUUUGGUGUGAAAUCUCCCGGCUCAACUGGGAGGGUGCGCCGAAUACUGAAUGACUUGGAGUGCGGGAGAGGAAAGUGGAAUUCCUGGUGUAGCGGUGAAAUGCGUAGAUAUCAGGAGGAACACCGGUGGUGUAGACGGCUUUCUGGACCGUAACUGACGCUGAGACACGAAAGCGUGGGUAGCAAACAGGAUUAGAUACCCUGGUAGUCCACGCCCUAAACGAUGCAUAUUUGGUGUGGGCAGUUCAUUCUGUCCGUGCCGGAGCUAACGCGUUAAAUAUGCCGCCUGGGGAGUACAGUCGCAAGGCUGAAACUC
RNAcentral lists this ribosomal RNA (797 nucleotides) under uncultured Bacillota bacterium. Its description in RNAcentral is "bacterial SSU rRNA". It matches the Rfam family "Bacterial small subunit ribosomal RNA", at positions 72 to 902 of the family's 1533-position model. The record is from RNAcentral. Lineage: Bacteria; Bacillati; Bacillota.